Molecule: ribosomal RNA, 392 nt
Filed under: uncultured bacterium
Lineage: Bacteria
Description: bacterial SSU rRNA
Rfam family: Bacterial small subunit ribosomal RNA
Source: RNAcentral
UGGCGGAAUGGGUUACACAUGCAAGUCGAACGGCAGCACGGGGCAACCUGGUGGCGAGUGGCGAACGGGUGAGUAAUACAUCGGAACGUGCCCAAUCGUGGGGGAUAACGUAGCGAAAGUUACGCUAAUACCGCAUACGAUCUACGGAUGAAAGCGGGGGAUCGCAAGACCUCGCGCGAAUGGAGCGGCCGAUGUCAGAUUAGGUAGUUGGUGGGGUAAAGGCUCACCAAGCCGACGAUCUGUAGCUGGUCUGAGAGGACGACCAGCCACACUGGGACUGAGACACGGNCCAGACUCCUACGGGAGGCAGCAGUGGGGAAUUUUGGACAAUGGGCGCAAGCCUGAUCCAGCCAUUCCGCGUGCAGGAUGAAGGCCUUCGGGUUGUAAACUGC